This 305-nucleotide ribosomal RNA is filed under the name uncultured bacterium. RNAcentral describes it as "bacterial SSU rRNA". It matches the Rfam family "Bacterial small subunit ribosomal RNA", at positions 333 to 635 of the family's 1533-position model. The record is from RNAcentral.
CGUAACCUACGGGACGCAGCAGUGAGGAAUAUUGGUCAAUGGGCGAGAGCCUGAACCAGCCAAGUCGCGUGGAGGAUGACAGCCCUACGGGUUGUAAACUUCUUUUGUCAGGGAGCAAUUGAGUCCACGUGUGGGCUUAGCGAGAGUACCUGAAGAAAAAGCAUCGGCUAACUCCGUGCCAGCAGCCGCGGUAAUACGGAGGAUGCGAGCGUUAUCCGGAUUUAUUGGGUUUAAAGGGUGCGUAGGCGGAAUAUCAAGUCAGCGGUAAAAAUUCGGGGCUCAACCCCGUCGUGCCGUUGAAACUG